Oryza glaberrima (African rice) is the source of this 184-nucleotide non-coding RNA. NCBI's taxonomy places the organism in Eukaryota, Viridiplantae, Streptophyta, Magnoliopsida, Poales, Poaceae. The record is from Rfam.
UUUAAGAGUAACUAUAAAUUUUUGUCUAACUUUGAUCAUCUGUCUUAUUUAAAAAAAUAUAUUAUUAUUAUUAUUAUGAGAUGAUAAAACAUAAAUAGUACUUUAUUCGUGACUUAUAUUUUUAAUUUUUUUAAAUAAGACGAACGAUCAAAAUUGGACGUGGAAAACCAUGGUUACACUUAAA